Molecule: ribosomal RNA, 497 nt
Filed under: uncultured bacterium
Lineage: Bacteria
Description: partial 16S ribosomal RNA
Rfam family: Bacterial small subunit ribosomal RNA
Source: RNAcentral
GAUGAACGCUGGCGGCGUGCCUAAUACAUGCAAGUCGAGCGAACAGACGAGGAGCUUGCUCCUCUGACGUUAGCGGCGGACGGGUGAGUAACACGUGGAUAACCUACCUAUAAGACUGGGAUAACUUCGGGAAACCGGAGCUAAUACCGGAUAAUAUAUUGAACCGCAUGGUUCAAUAGUGAAAGACGGUUUUGCUGUCACUUAUAGAUGGAUCCGCGCCGCAUUAGCUAGUUGGUAAGGUAACGGCUUACCAAGGCGACGAUGCGUAGCCGACCUGAGCGGGUGAUCGGCCACACUGGAACUGAGACACGGUCCAGACUCCUACGGGAGGCAGCAGUAGGGAAUCUUCCGCAAUGGGGGAAAGGCUGACGGAGCACCGCCGCGUGAGUGAUGAAGGUCUUCGGAUCGUAAAACUAUGUUAUUAGGGAAGAACAAAUGUGUAAGUAACUAUGAACGUCUUGACGGUACCUAAUCAGAAAGCCACGGCUAACUACGUG